AAAUAUUCUGUGAAAAAUUGAAUCUUUCCAUCUCUAAGGACCACUCUAGGAGCAGACGAAGAUCCCUGGCCUUCAUAAUUAAUUGUAGAAGUAGCUUGGAUAUUUGUUUUUUCUCGCAAUUUCAAGGUUGAGAAGAACCUAUUUGUUUGUGGUUUGGUGGCAGUGCUGUUUUGAGUUGGGCAGAAUUCAACGUAUAAAUUUUUUCUUGUUUUAAUUGGAACAUCAAAUGCGGAGCUACUAUAGAAUAUUGGGAAAAAAACUUUCUGUUUUCUUUAUCAAUCGUCUGGUUUGUUUGGCAAUUCCCAUCUGAAAGAAAUUGCUGACAAUGACAUGUAUCAGAUUUGAGUGCUAAAUUUCAAUUACUCUUCUUGAUCUUUUGCUUUAUUCCAGUGCUUGAUGCCUGUCUGGAGAUGGGAAUAAAUUUCCAAUGAAAAGAAACUAUAUUUGAGCAAGGAGUUUGAAGGAACAAAGGGGAAUGAUAAUUUAGAAUAGAGUCUGAUAUUGCAUCAUCUUUGAACUAUUAAGCUCUGUUUUAAUUAAUAAUGCUGUAGAGAGCUACUUGCAAUUAGCCCUCUGAAUCUAGAGAGUAUGAUGGCCCAA
Molecule: unclassified non-coding RNA, 600 nt
Filed under: Hevea brasiliensis (rubber tree)
Lineage: Eukaryota; Viridiplantae; Streptophyta; Magnoliopsida; Malpighiales; Euphorbiaceae
Source: RNAcentral